ACUGAAUAGAUACCCUGGUAGUCCACGCCGUAAACGAUGGAUGCUAGCUGUUAUAGGUAUCGACCCCUGUAGUAGCGAAAGCUAACGCGUUAAGCAUCCCGCCUGUGGAGUACGGUCGCAAGACUAAAACAUAAAGGAAUUGACGGGGACCCGCACAAGCGGUGGAGCGUGUUGUUUAAUUCGAUGGUAAACGAAGAACCUUACCCAGGUUUGACAUCCUUGGAAUUUCUCCGAAAGGAGAGAGUGCUUUAUUGAGCCAAGUGACAGGUGAUGCAUGGCCGUCGUCAGCUCGUGUCGUGAGAUGUUUGGUUAAGUCCAUCAACGAGCGCAACCCUUGUGAUUAGUUGAAUUUUUCUAAUCAGACUGCCCUGGUAACAGGGAGGAAGGAGGGGAUGAUGUCAGGUCAGUAUUUCCCUUACAUCUGGGGCUACAAACACGCUACAAUGGCCGGUACAAAGGGCAGCCAAGUCGCGAGACGGAGCAAAUCCCAUCAAAGCCGGUCUCAGUUCGGAUUGCAGGCUGAAACUCG
RNAcentral lists this ribosomal RNA (529 nucleotides) under uncultured bacterium. Its description in RNAcentral is "bacterial SSU rRNA". It matches the Rfam family "Bacterial small subunit ribosomal RNA", at positions 772 to 1314 of the family's 1533-position model. The record is from RNAcentral.